This 468-nucleotide ribosomal RNA is filed under the name uncultured bacterium. RNAcentral describes it as "partial 16S ribosomal RNA". It matches the Rfam family "Bacterial small subunit ribosomal RNA", at positions 28 to 507 of the family's 1533-position model. The record is from RNAcentral.
GACGAACGCUGGCGGCGUGCUUAACACAUGCAAGUCGAACGGAAAGGCCCUGCUUUUGUGGGGUGCUCGAGUGGCGAACGGGUGAGUAACAAGUGAGUAACCUGCCCUUGACUUUGGGAUAACUUCAGGAAACUGGGGCUAAUACCGGAUAGGAGCUCCUGCUGCAUGGUGGGGGUUGGAAAGUUUCGGCGGUUGGGGAUGGACUCGCGGCUUAUCAGCUUGUUGGUGGGGUAGUGGCUUACCAAGGCUUUGACGGGUAGCCGGCCUAAGAGGGUGACCGGCCACAUUGGGACUGAGAUACGGCCCAGACCCCUACGGGAGGCAGCAGUGGGGAAUAUUGCACAAUGGGCGGAAGCCUGAUGCAGCAACGCCGCGUGCGGGAUGACGGCCUUCGGGUUGUAAACCGCUUUCGCCUGUGACGAAGCGUGAGUGACGGUAAUGGGUAAAGAAGCACCGGCUAACUACGUG